Molecule: long non-coding RNA, 337 nt
Organism: Rhagoletis zephyria (snowberry fruit fly)
Lineage: Eukaryota; Metazoa; Arthropoda; Insecta; Diptera; Tephritidae
Source: RefSeq, a predicted model, not a curated record
AAGAUAUUUUAUGACAUCAGCGAGUAGGUGGAUGCUGCCAAAUCAACGAAGAGAGGGUUAGCGGUCCGCAAACAGCGCCACCUUUAUUUUCUACAUCGUGUAAUAACGGGCCUGUGAAAUGCGCCACCUUAUAUACUUAUGUUAAACUUUGCUAUGCAUUUACCAUUCAUCAUUUUGCUAUUGUUGGCAACAUUUGCAUUUUGUCUUGAGCGAAUUAUUAUAUUAGAAGUUAAAAAAGUAAAAACAAAAUUGAAUACGUUGGGUAAAUGGACCGACGUAAAAUAAAUUAUCACUUUCUUCCCGUUGUUAGUUUCUAUCUUCAUAUAGGGACAGGAAA